Oreochromis aureus is the source of this 1567-nucleotide long non-coding RNA. Lineage: Eukaryota; Metazoa; Chordata; Actinopteri; Cichliformes; Cichlidae. The record is from Ensembl.
GGUUAAUUCAAAUUUUGUCUAAAUUAUGUAGGUUGUGCAAUUUAAGGCCUUGUAAAUAUUAUUUAAUUUAUCAGACGUCUCUGUGUUAUAAUUUCUAUGUUUGUAUAUAGGCUCUGUCUGCCACGGGCACUGCAGCAGGCUGUUUAUUUUGAGAGUGUGUCUGUGUUUAUGUAAAUGAGAUGCCUGUGACUUAUUUAGAGUGACAUUUCCUGUUUACUAAUGAGUGGCUAAUGACUGACUGCAGAGCCAGGGUUAAGGACGACUUCAAUCUGUGUUUUAAGGGAAGAAAUGCAGUUUAUGUUUAUUAUAUUUGUGUGACUGUUGUUGAUUAUGAUAAGUAUUUCAUGAUAACUGUAGAAUAUGAGUAUGGGGUUUGCUUGACACGUGUCUGUACUAGGUAAAACUGUGCAAAACUGAUAGGAAGUUUAUAGGGACUGCUACACAUGGCUGAUGCCUGUAUUUAAGACGCUGGAGUUGUUUAUUACAAUAUUGCCUGGAAGAGAGUGAACUGACGGCGCGGACAAAUUACCAAAGUUGAUGUUCUAUCCAAGAGGGUUUUAAGCUUCACUGGUGAGAGUGUCCAGGUGAUACAUGUUGAGGGAAGAUGAGAACAUAGCAGGUGAAUUGCAUGCACGCUUACAAACACACAUGAUUUAAUAUAGGCCAGGCCAAAGGCCUGGACUUGAUGCAGCUUUCAACUUUACAGCUCCUAACUUGCAGGAAUGGCGGGAGUGUAAUGAAUGAAUGCAAAACAUGCUUACAGACACAAACAUGACAGGGGUUUAUUUUACAGGGUAAAGGUGGACCACAGGUUGCUUUGUUUCUGCUUAGCAACUACUGAGGUAAAUGGUGUUAAAGAUAAAUAUGCAAUAAGUGAACAAGAAAUGUGUGAGGGUGAGCCGGGUGAAACAAAAUGUUGUAGAUGAUGGAAACUUGUCUAACGGGCAUUAACAGUAACCUUUGCAUGUUAUGUAUAUGCUUGAAGCCAAAGGAGGCAUAAAUCCAGAUAGAAAACUUUGAAGUGUGCUUUUUUAGCGGAGAUUUAGGCUGACAGGGGAUGGUGUAUAUUUUACCCGGGGUGUGUUUAAUAAAAAAAAAAAAAAAAAAACUAAAAGCGUUGCUCACACACAUAAAGAGUAUUGAGAUUAAAUAAAGUUAAUAUAAUGGAUAGAGCCCAGAACAGGAAAAUACAUAAGUAAAAUCAAAUGUAAUGUUUGAUUUCACUUUUAUUGGGAAACAAUCAGGCUAGAAAUGUGAGUAACCUAUGUUUAAACUGUGAAAACACUCUCCACAUACAUUAAAACUGUGCAACUCUGAGUGGGCCAUGCAAUCAAGCAACUGUUACAUAUCUGUAUUAAACUAGCCAACAUAGACUCACCACCACAUGAUGUUGCCCUGCAGCGGGGCAGAAAAUCAUUUGCAAACCAGGGAUCUUAUGUUGAUUAUCAUAUUCUUACUUAUGUACACACACACACACAGAAGGGAAAAAUUUCAAAACAAAACAAAAACAACUUCGCUUAACCUGUCAAGCACAGGAGCAAAAUAAAAAUCUCUUUGGGCUCUGUUA